UGGGUGAAGCUAAAACCUCUUAGGUGGCCUU
This 31-nucleotide non-coding RNA is filed under the name Mus musculus (house mouse). The record is from RNAcentral. Lineage: Eukaryota; Metazoa; Chordata; Mammalia; Rodentia; Muridae.